Molecule: ribosomal RNA, 466 nt
Filed under: uncultured bacterium
Lineage: Bacteria
Description: partial 16S ribosomal RNA
Rfam family: Bacterial small subunit ribosomal RNA
Source: RNAcentral
ACGAACGCUGGCGGCGUGCUUAACACAUGCCAGUCGAACGGAAAGGCCCUGCUUUUGUGGGGUGCUCGAGUGGCGAACGGGUGAGUAACACGUGAGUAACCUGCCCUUGACUUUGGGAUAACUUCAGGAAACUGGGGCUAAUACCGGAUAGGAGCUCCUGCUGCAUGGUGGGGGUUGGAAAGUUUCGGCGGUUGGGGAUGGACUCGCGGCUUAUCAGCUUGUUGGUGGGGUAGUGGCUUACCAAGGCUUUGACGGGUAGCCGGCCUGAGAGGGUGACCGGCCACAUUGGGACUGAGAUACGGCCCAGACUCCUACGGGAGGCAGCAGUGGGGAAUAUUGCACAAUGGGCGGAAGCCUGAUGCAGCAACGCCGCGUGCGGGAGGACGGCCUUCGGGUUGUAAACCGCUUUCGCCUGUGACGAAGCGUGAGUGACGGUAAUGGGUAAAGAAGCACCGGCUAACUACGU